UCCCUGGUGGCUCAGCGGGUAGAGAAUCUGCCUGCAGUGCAAGAGACCUAGGUUUGAUUCCUGGGUUGGGAA
This 72-nucleotide transfer RNA is filed under the name Ovis aries (sheep). It matches the Rfam family "tRNA". Rfam says of the family: Transfer RNA (tRNA) molecules are approximately 80 nucleotides in length. Lineage: Eukaryota; Metazoa; Chordata; Mammalia; Artiodactyla; Bovidae. The record is from Rfam by way of RNAcentral.